RNAcentral lists this ribosomal RNA (230 nucleotides) under uncultured bacterium. Its description in RNAcentral is "partial 16S ribosomal RNA". It matches the Rfam family "Bacterial small subunit ribosomal RNA", at positions 562 to 791 of the family's 1533-position model. The record is from RNAcentral.
AAAGGGUGCGUAGGCGGUUAUAUAAGACAGAUGUGAAAUCCCCGGGCUCAACCUGGGAACUGCAUUUGUGACUGUAUAGCUGGAGUGCGGCAGAGGGGGAUGGAAUUCCGCGUGUAGCAGUGAAAUGCGUAGAUAUGCGGAGGAACACCGAUGGCGAAGGCAAUCCCCUGGGCCUGCACUGACGCUCAUGCACGAAAGCGUGGGGAGCAAACAGGAUUAGAUACCCCAGU